ACGAACGCUGGCGGCGUGCUUAACACAUGCAAGUCGCACGGAAAGGCCCUGCUUUUGUGGGGUGCUCGAGUGGCGAACGGGUGAGAACACGUGAGUAACCUGCCCUUGACUUUGGGAUAACUUCAGGAAACUGGGGCUAAUACCGGAUAGGAGCUCCUGCUGCAUGGUGGGGGUUGGAAAGUUUCGGCGGUUGGGGAUGGACUCGCGGCUUAUCAGCUUGUUGGUGGGGUAGUGGCUUACCAAGGCUUUGACGGGUAGCCGGCCUGAGAGGGUGACCGGCCACAUUGGGGCUGAGAUACGGCCCAGACUCCUACGGGAGGCAGCAGUGGGGAAUAUUGCACAAUGGGCGGAAGCCUGAUGCAGCAACGCCGCGUGCGGGAUGACGGCCUUCGGGUUGUAAACCGCUUUCGCCUGUGACGAAGCGUGAGUGACGGUAAUGGGUAAAGAAGCACCGGCUAACUACGUG
RNAcentral lists this ribosomal RNA (466 nucleotides) under uncultured bacterium. RNAcentral describes it as "partial 16S ribosomal RNA". It matches the Rfam family "Bacterial small subunit ribosomal RNA", at positions 29 to 507 of the family's 1533-position model. The record is from RNAcentral.